Molecule: ribosomal RNA, 471 nt
Filed under: uncultured organism
Description: partial 16S ribosomal RNA
Rfam family: Bacterial small subunit ribosomal RNA
Source: RNAcentral
ACACUCCUACGGGAGGCAGCAGUGGGGAAUAUUGCACAAUGGGCGCAAGCCUGAUGCAGCCAUGCCGCGUGUAUGAAGAAGGCCUUCGGGUUGUAAAGUACUUUCAGCGGGGAGGAAGGCGAUAAGGUUAAUAACCUUGUUGAUUGACGUUACCCGCAGAAGAAGCACCGGCUAACUCCGUGCCAGCAGCCGCGGUAAUACGGAGGGUGCAAGCGUUAAUCGGAAUUACUGGGCGUAAAGCGCACGCAGGCGGUCUGUCAAGUCGGAUGUGAAAUCCCCGGGCUCAACCUGGGAACUGCAUUCGAAACUGGCAGGCUAGAGUCUUGUAGAGGGGGGUAGAAUUCCAGGUGUAGCGGUGAAAUGCGUAGAGAUCUGGAGGAAUACCGGUGGCGAAGGCGGCCCCCUGGACAAAGACUGACGCUCAGGUGCGAAAGCGUGGGGAGCAAACAGGAUUAGAUACCCUUGUAGUCC